This 589-nucleotide ribosomal RNA is filed under the name Diversispora aurantia. RNAcentral describes it as "partial large subunit ribosomal RNA". It matches the Rfam family "Eukaryotic large subunit ribosomal RNA", at positions 76 to 611 of the family's 3401-position model. Lineage: Eukaryota; Fungi; Glomeromycota; Glomeromycetes; Diversisporales; Diversisporaceae. The record is from RNAcentral.
UCCCCUAGUAACGGCGAGUGAAGAGGGAAAAGCUCAAAUUUUAAAUCUACCUGGUUCGUCCCAGGUCGAGUUGUAAUUUGAAGAAGCGAUAUCGGUGUUGAGGUCUGGUUUAAGUUCUUUGGAACAAGACAUCAUGGAGGGUGAGAAUCCCGUGCAUGAUCAGACCAAGAUACUAAGUAUAUGCUUUCUAAGAGUCGAGUUGUUUGGGAAUGCAGCUCAAAAUGGGUGGUAGACUUCACCUAAGGCUAAAUAUCAGCGAGAGACCGAUAGCGAACAAGUACUGUGAAGGAAAGAUGAAAACAACUUUGAAAAGAGAGUUAAAUAGUACGUGAAAUUGUUGAAAGGGAAACGAUUGAAGUCAGUCAUGCCAGUGAAAAUUCAGUUUGGCGAGUUUCUGGUUCGGAGUAGAGGCAGGGUCAAACCGUCUCUCUUUUGGACUUUGGAUUUGUCAGAUGCAUUUUUUCUUUGGCAGGUCAGUAUCGGUUUCGGGAGUUGUAAAAUACCUGGGGUAAAGUAGCUUUGCUUCGGGAGAGUGUUAUAGACCUUGGGGGAUGCAGCUCGCGGGAUCGAGGAUUGCAGCAAAUGCCUU